RNAcentral lists this ribosomal RNA (561 nucleotides) under uncultured bacterium. Its description in RNAcentral is "bacterial SSU rRNA". It matches the Rfam family "Bacterial small subunit ribosomal RNA", at positions 65 to 667 of the family's 1533-position model. The record is from RNAcentral.
CACGGGCAGGGCAACCUGUCAGUGGCGGACGGGUGAGUAACGCGUAGGAAUCUAUCCUUGGGUGGGGGACAACCGUGGGAAACUACGGCUAAUACCGCAUGAUCCCUGAGGGGCAAAGGCGAAAGUCGCCUGAGGAGGAGCCUGCGUCUGAUUAGGUAGUUGGUGGGGUAAAGGCCUACCAAGCCUGCGAUCAGUAGCUGGUCUGAGAGGAUGAUCAGCCACACUGGGACUGAGACACGGCCCAGACUCCUACGGGAGGCAGCAGUGGGGAAUAUUGGACAAUGGGCGAAAGCCUGAUCCAGCAAUGCCGCGUGGAUGAAGAAGGUCUUCGGAUUGUAAAGUCCUUUUGGCGGGGACGAUGAUGACGGUACCCGCAGAAUAAGCUCCGGCUAACUUCGUGCCAGCAGCCGCGGUAAUACGAAGGGGGCUAGCGUUGCUCUGAAUGACUGGGCGUAAAGGGCGCGUAGGCGGACGGCACAGUCAGGCGUGAAAUUCCUGGGCUUCAACCUGGGGACUGCGUCUGAGACGUGUUGUCUUGAGUAUGGAAGAGGGUUGUGGAAU